Molecule: long non-coding RNA, 572 nt
Filed under: Cottoperca gobio
Lineage: Eukaryota; Metazoa; Chordata; Actinopteri; Perciformes; Bovichtidae
Description: lncRNA (ENSCGOG00000016572.1)
Source: RNAcentral
GCUCUGAGUCUCUUCUGUUCCCUGGGAGCUGUGGGCGCAGAAAGAUUUCUAAACAGAGAAGUUACUCAGGACUGCAGUGUGGACUUCUUCUUCUUCUCUUCCUGGAUUGGUCACAUCUUCCUCACUGAUCUGCUCUUGUGAUUGGACAGUCCUGGAUUCAAGGACGUCUGGGGGGUCCACCCCUGCUUCCUGUCUUCCUGUUUCCUUCCUCAACACAGUGAGCACUUCUUGUCCCUUCACGACCGUCACCUGACUGGCUGGAGGCUUCACCUAUCCGUCACUGAAGAUUCAUAGACUUUGAAGUCAAGACAGACGGAUGUUGUGUUACGUGUAGAGGUGCAACACUACGCAGAACUCAAGGUCCAUUCUGGCUUCUUCUGGAACUGGUAUGCUCCUUGAGUGACCGACCGAAAUGGGUUUUCAAUGUGCGAUGCCAUCAUUUAGAAAGCAGCGGACAUUUCUUUAACCCUGUUAUUGUCUGCAUUGUCUCUUUACUUCAGUAGAUCCACACUCUGUCUGCACUGCACCUAUUUUACAUUUGUUUGUUUUUUUAAAUGUAGCAACUAAAUAAA